Molecule: ribosomal RNA, 450 nt
Filed under: uncultured bacterium
Lineage: Bacteria
Description: bacterial SSU rRNA
Rfam family: Bacterial small subunit ribosomal RNA
Source: RNAcentral
GUGGGGAAUAUUGGACAAUGGGCGAAAGCCUGAUCCAGCAAUGCCGCGUGUGUGAAGAAGGCCUGCGGGUUGUAAAGCACUUUCAGUGGGGAAGAAAAGCGCAGUGCUAAUAACGCUGCGUCUUGACGUUACCCAAAGAAGAAGCACCGGCUAACUCCGUGCCAGCAGCCGCGGUAAUACGGAGGGUGCGAGCGUUAAUCGGAAUUACUGGGCGUAAAGCGCACGUAGGCGGUCAGGCAAGUCGGGUGUGAAAGCCCUGGGCUCAACCUGGGAAUGGCAUUCGAAACUAUCUGACUCGAGUAUGGGAGAGGGAAGCGGAAUUUCCGGUGUAGCGGUGAAAUGCGUAGAUAUCGGAAGGAACACCAGUGGCGAAGGCGGCUUCCUGGACCAAUACUGACGCUGAGGUGCGAAAGCGUGGGGAGCAAACAGGAUUAGAAACCCCAGUAGUCC